Long non-coding RNA from Mastomys coucha (southern multimammate mouse), 523 nucleotides. RefSeq lists it as uncharacterized. The record is from RefSeq and is a predicted model, not a curated record. The transcript is spliced from 3 exons. Lineage: Eukaryota; Metazoa; Chordata; Mammalia; Rodentia; Muridae.
CCUUGAUUCUCACGUAACUAACAGCUCCUGAGUAAACUGUUGCUGGAAGGAACUGGUGUGCUAGUCUUUCUUCCCUGCUGGCCAGGGUGAUCGGCGUGGCACAACUGGUGGCCCAGACAGGGAGUUUCCUGCUAGAUUUCCCCGAGUUCCAGAACCGGUAGCAGACAGGGAGAUUGAGAUCGGAAAGUGGCCGAGACAAAGGUGAUUGCUGACAUGAAAUUGAGAGCUGAUGAAGCAGUAUGAAGCUUAAAAUUUUUGGAAAUUUUUCAAACUACUUCCUGAAGGAAAGUCUAAAUCCAACAGGCAACUCAAACACGCUGACCACAGUGUCAACACUGGCUGCACUACUGGAAAGAUUACAUUGGCAGUGCCCUCACAAGGAUGCAAGAUUUCAGCAAGAAAAGAUCAUUGAUGCAAUAAUGUCCUGCCCCUCAGUUGACCAAGGGGCGGGGGCGGGGGGAGGAAUGCUGUUCAUUUUCUACUGCUGUUUUUCUUAGUACAAUAAACAUAGUAGUUUAACCAA